This 440-nucleotide ribosomal RNA is filed under the name uncultured bacterium. RNAcentral describes it as "partial 16S ribosomal RNA". It matches the Rfam family "Bacterial small subunit ribosomal RNA", at positions 338 to 795 of the family's 1533-position model. The record is from RNAcentral.
CCUACGGGGGGCAGCAGUGGGGAAUAUUGCACAAUGGGGGAAACCCUGAUGCAGCGACGCCGCGUGAGUGAAGAAGUAUUUCGGUAUGUUAAGCUCUAUCAGCAGGGAAGAAAAUGACGGUACCUGAUUCAGACGCCCCGGCUAAAUACGAGCCAGCAGCCGCGGCAAUACGGAGGGGGCCAGCGUUAUCCGGAUUUACUGGGGGUAAAGGGAGCGUAGAGGGCAGCACAAGUCUGUAGUGAAAUGCCGGGGCUUAACCCCGGACCUGCUUUGGAAACUGUGAAGCUAGAGUGCGGGAGAGGUACGUGGAAUUCCUGGUGUAGCGGUGAAAUGCGUAGAUAUUAGGAGGAACACCAGUGGCGAAGGCGGCUUACUGGACUGUAACUGACGUUGAGGCUCGAAAGCGUGGGGAGCAAACAGGAUUAGAUACCCUUGUAGUC